RNAcentral lists this ribosomal RNA (265 nucleotides) under uncultured bacterium. RNAcentral's name for it is "partial 16S ribosomal RNA". It matches the Rfam family "Bacterial small subunit ribosomal RNA", at positions 88 to 354 of the family's 1533-position model. The record is from RNAcentral.
CCGGCGACCGGCGCACGGGUGAGUAGCACGUAUGCAACCUGCCCUCUUCAGGGGGACAACCUUCCGAAAGGGAGGCUAAUCCCGCGUAUAUCGGUUUCGGGCAUCCGAGAUCGAGGAAAGAUUCAUCGGAAGAGGAUGGGCAUGCGGCGCAUUAGCUAGACGGCGGGGUAACGGCCCACCGUGGCGACGAUGCGUAGGGGUUCUGAGAGGAAGGUCCCCCACACUGGUACUGAGACACGGACCAGACUCCUACGGGAGGCAGCAG